Long non-coding RNA from Fukomys damarensis (Damara mole-rat), 222 nucleotides. RefSeq lists it as uncharacterized. The transcript is spliced from 3 exons. NCBI's taxonomy places the organism in Eukaryota, Metazoa, Chordata, Mammalia, Rodentia, Bathyergidae. The record is from RefSeq and is a predicted model, not a curated record.
GUCAACUUCCACCUUCCGGGGUGGCUUGAGUCUUAGCAAAGUGAGGAUCAUCAGAUUUCAGAACUGAAAGUGACCGGAGGAGCUGUCUGAUUUAACCAUCUCAUCUUACUGGUGGGGUCAAUCGGACCACAGAGGGGCCCGUGCCACAGGAAAAUGGGCAGUCUGUACUCAAAAUGCACCGAGAAUCCCAAAACAGCACCAGCAGAGCACUGAACUAAGAGC